AAAUUGAAGAGUUUGAUCAUGGCUCAGAUUGAACGCUGGCGGCAGGCCUAACACAUGCAAGUCGAACGGUAACAGGAAGCAGCUUGCUGCUUCGCUGACGAGUGGCGGACGGGUGAGUAAUGUCUGGGAAACUGCCUGAUGGAGGGGGAUAACUACUGGAAACGGUAGCUAAUACCGCAUAACGUCGCAAGACCAAAGAGGGGGACCUUCGGGCCUCUUGCCAUCGGAUGUGCCCAGAUGGGAUUAGCUUGUUGGUGGGGUAACGGCUCACCAAGGCGACGAUCCCUAGCUGGUCUGAGAGGAUGACCAGCCACACUGGAACUGAGACACGGUCCAGACUCCUACGGGAGGCAG
This 354-nucleotide ribosomal RNA is filed under the name Shigella sonnei. RNAcentral describes it as "bacterial SSU rRNA". It matches the Rfam family "Bacterial small subunit ribosomal RNA", at positions 1 to 351 of the family's 1533-position model. The record is from RNAcentral. Lineage: Bacteria; Pseudomonadati; Pseudomonadota; Gammaproteobacteria; Enterobacterales; Enterobacteriaceae.